CCUACGGGAGGCAGCAGUGAGGAAUAUUGGUCAAUGGCCGAGAGGCUGAACCAGCCAAGUCGCGUGCGGGAAGACGGCCCUACGGGUUGUAAACCUCUUUUGUCGGGGAGCAAAGCGAGUCACGUGUGACUCAUUGAGAGUACCCGACGAAAAAGCAUCGGCUAACUCCGUGCCAGCAGCCGCGGUAAUACGGAGGAUGCGAGCGUUAUCCGGAUUUCUUGGGUUUAAGGGGUGCGCAGGCGGAGGUGUAAGUCAGCGGUCAAAUCGCGGGGCUCAACCCCGUACUGCCGUUGACACUGCAUGCCUUGAGAGCGCUAGAAGUAGGCGGAAUGCGUGGUGUAGCGGUGAAAUGCAUAGAUAUCACGCAGAACACCGAUUGCGAAGGCAGCAUACCGGCGCGCAACUGACGCUCAUGCACGAAAGCGUGGGGAUCGAACAGGAUUAGAUACCCUUGUAGUC
This 459-nucleotide ribosomal RNA is filed under the name uncultured bacterium. RNAcentral's name for it is "partial 16S ribosomal RNA". It matches the Rfam family "Bacterial small subunit ribosomal RNA", at positions 338 to 795 of the family's 1533-position model. The record is from RNAcentral.